RNAcentral lists this ribosomal RNA (253 nucleotides) under uncultured bacterium. RNAcentral describes it as "partial 16S ribosomal RNA". It matches the Rfam family "Bacterial small subunit ribosomal RNA", at positions 524 to 776 of the family's 1533-position model. The record is from RNAcentral.
UACGGAGGGUGCAAGCGUUGUUCGGAAUUACUGGGCGUAAAGCGCGUGUAGGCGGUUUGAUAAGUCGAUUGUGAAAGCCCGAGGCUCAACCUCGGAAGCGCACUCGAAACUGUCAAGCUUGAGUACGGGAGAGGGAAGUGGAAUUCCUGGUGUAGAGGUGAAAUUCGUAGAUAUCAGGAGGAACACCGGUGGCGAAGGCGGCUUCCUGGACCGAUACUGACGCUGAGACGCGAAAGCGUGGGGAGCAAACAGG